GGUUUGGUCUUGGUCGCCGACCAAAUUUGGUCUGGGUUUUAGUUUUUGAUCGAUGGUCCGUCCCACUACGCCUAUCCACUAGACCAAAUAUUUGGGUUUAGUCGUCCAUUGUGGACGCUCUCAGGACAGACAAAGCACAUCCAAGCUCCCCCAAGAUGGAAUGGUCGGAUAUGGGCAAGAACUGGGUGUGACUUCACUUCUACCUCCAGCACGAAACAUUGUUGUGAAACUGGUGACUGUGGAGGAAAAAUUGCUUGUAGUGGGAACAUAGGACUCCCCCUGCCACUCUUGUGCAGGUUUCACUACAAGCAGAUACGAGGAGCGUUUGGUUGACGGGUACAACGUCCCAAUCUCUAUCUCUCCGAAAUCAAAGGCUUCCAACUGUUACAUUGGAGGAUGCUUGAAAGACCUCAACAAAAUUUGCCCACAAGAGCUUCAAGUGUUGAAUGGUGAUGGACAGGUGGUAGCUUGCAAAAGUGCAGGUUUGGCAUUCAAUCAUGACAUGUUCUGUUGCAGGAAUGCUUAUGGAAACCCUGAAAAAUGUAAACCAAAUAUGUAUUCCAGCAUGUUUAAAGAAGUUUGCCCAUCUUACUACAGUUUUGCUUUCGACUCGCCUCCACCACUGGUAAGCUGUACUGCUGAUGCGUUUAUCAUAACUUUCUGCCCUAACAAAUGGGGUUCUGAACACAUUUCUCUUUAGAUAUUGAAGGAUAGGGUUUCAUACCCGACCUGCAUUGAGCUUCAAGCGAUUUAUUCAAGUUGAGUUCUAAUAUAACUAUCAUGUGUUGUAUUUUAUGUUUUCUGUCAUGUGUGUUGAGUACUACCAUCAUUCAGUGUAAGUGUAACUUAUAAGUUAUACCAGUUGUUUCAUUUUAUGUAUUAGAUGGACAAUGAAACAGAAUGCUUAAAAAAAAGAAUUUGCCGUGUCCAUAGAUGGACCUCUAUUCGGCAGUCAAUCAAUCAGUCUCUUUAUGGCUCUCAUUUUCAACAAUACAAGCAUGGAGUACAAUCACCAGAAGGGUUUUUGAUGCAAGCAAUUUAACCAAGAAUUAUCUUUUCUGGAAGCCGUGGCCUUCACAAUGAGGGCUAAAGAUGUGAAUCAGGCUGAAGCUCUUGCUGUUAUACAAGCUACCAGAUGGAUUACUAACAAGAAGCUCAGCAGGAUCAUUAUAAAAGGGGACAAUAAAAUUAUUAUGGAAGUUCUUAAAUCAGGUCAGAUGGAAGGUGUUAAACAGGAAGAUAAACCGUUGUUGUCUGAAUGUCUUAGUAUGAUAAAUGAAAUGUCUGACGUUCAAGUUCAAUAUCUAGAAGAGGUAAUAAAGUUGCAGAUGCAUUGGUGAAAUAUGCUAGAACCCAUCAAGCAGCAUUAGCGAAAUGCAGCUUGAAAACUAACUUAUCUCCUCUUACGGGAUCAGUAUGAAAUGCGGCUUGAAAACUAACUUUUCAGUUUUGAGUCUGUCUGUAAUUUCAUAGUAAAGGUCUGUGUUUCUGUUUUUUCAGUCUUUAGGAAUGGUGUUUUUUAUGGCUUUUGCGUUUUAAGUUUAGGCUAGUCAUUCUCAGUUGUGGGUUAAGUUGUCUGGAGAAGGCUUCUAUUGUGUACUCUAGUUUUGGUUUAUCAACAACUUUACAUUUCUUCAAAAAAAAAAAAAACAAAAAAAAAACAAAGAAUUUGAGU
Long non-coding RNA from Papaver somniferum (opium poppy), 1675 nucleotides. RefSeq lists it as uncharacterized. The transcript has 2 exons. NCBI's taxonomy places the organism in Eukaryota, Viridiplantae, Streptophyta, Magnoliopsida, Ranunculales, Papaveraceae. The record is from RefSeq and is a predicted model, not a curated record.